This 301-nucleotide ribosomal RNA is filed under the name uncultured bacterium. RNAcentral's name for it is "partial 16S ribosomal RNA". It matches the Rfam family "Bacterial small subunit ribosomal RNA", at positions 509 to 808 of the family's 1533-position model. The record is from RNAcentral.
CAGUAGCCGCGGGAAUACAGAGGGUGCGAGCGUUAAUCGGAUUUACUGGGCGUAAAGCGUGCGUAGGCGGCUUCUUAAGUCGGAUGUGAAAUCCCUGAGCUUAACUUAGGAAUUGCAUUCGAUACUGGGAAGCUAGAGUAUGGGAGAGGAUGGUAGAAUUCCAGGUGUAGCGGUGAAAUGCGUAGAGAUCUGGAGGAAUACCGAUGGCGAAGGCAGCCAUCUGGCCUAAUACUGACGCUGAGGUACGAAAGCAUGGGGAGCAAACAGGAUUAGAUACCCCCGUAGUCCCUGUCUCUUAACC